This 460-nucleotide ribosomal RNA is filed under the name uncultured bacterium. Its description in RNAcentral is "SSU rRNA". It matches the Rfam family "Bacterial small subunit ribosomal RNA", at positions 26 to 518 of the family's 1533-position model. The record is from RNAcentral.
AGAAUCAACGCUGGCGGCGUGCCUAACACAUGCAAGUCGAACGAGAAAGUGGAGCAAUCCAUGAGUAAAGUGGCGCACGGGUGAGUAACACGUGACUAACCUACCCUUGAGUGGGGGAUAACCUCGGGAAACCGGGGCUAAUACCGCAUAAUAUCGAGAGAUCAAAGGAGCAAUUCGCUUAAGGAGGGGGUCGCGGCUGAUUAGCUAGUUGGUAGGGUAAUGGCCUACCAAGGCUAUGAUCAGUAUCCGGCCUGAGAGGGCGCACGGACACACUGGAACUGAAACACGGUCCAGACUCCUACGGGAGGCAGCAGUGGGGAAUUUUGCGCAAUGGGGGAAACCCUGACGCAGCAACGCCGCGUGGAGGAUGAAGUCCCUUGGGACGUAAACUCCUUUCGAUCGGGACGAUUAUGGCGGUACCGGAAGAAGAAGCCCCGGCUAACUUCGCGCCAGCAGCCGC